GCGGGCUUCCAGGGCCUUCCAGGGCCUUCCAGGGUUUCCCAGGCAAAGAUACUGGCUGCCGUUUCCACUCCAGGGGAUCUUCCCGACUCAGGGAUAGAACCAUAGAACCUCUUGCAUUGCAGGCGGAUUCUUUACUGAUUGAGCCACCAGGAAAGCCUGAGAGACGGCAGGGUCUGGCCGGCCGGGAACCCCCGUGUGGCUCUGGUCCUCGUGCUCCCGCCUCGUUCCUGGGCCCAGGGCUCUCAGGUUAUUUUUAGCCUGUCCUCUGACCGGGAUUCCAGCUGGAUGACGUUUCCCGCUGGAGAGGGUGGGUGGAGGUGCUGGAGCCCUGCCCCGUCCUGGACUUGCACUUGCAGCCCGACCUCUGUUUCGGCUUUGACCACGUUACUCAGUUUUCUAACGCCCAGUGUUGCUAGCUUUGCCUGGUGGCUCAGCAGUAAAGAAUCUGUCUGCCAAGCAGAAGUGAGUUCAAUCCCUGGUCAGGAAGAUCCCCUGAAGAAGGAAAUGGCAACCCACUCCAGUCUUCUUACUUGGAGAAUCCCAUGGACAGAGGAGCCUGGUGGGCUAUAGUCCAUGGGGUCACAAAGAGUUGGAAAUGACUGAGCGACUAAACAAGUGUCUUUUCACAUGGUUAUUAGUGCUGCGUUCAUAUAUCUUCUUGGAGAAGAGUCUGUUAAGCCUUUUGCCCAUUUCUUGCUUGUCUAAUUCAAUGUUAAGGGUUCUUUGUAUAUUCUGGAUAUGAGCUGUUUAUCAGCUAUGCGAUUUACAUAUAUUUUC
Dama dama (fallow deer) is the source of this 777-nucleotide long non-coding RNA. RefSeq lists it as uncharacterized. The record is from RefSeq and is a predicted model, not a curated record. NCBI's taxonomy places the organism in Eukaryota, Metazoa, Chordata, Mammalia, Artiodactyla, Cervidae. The transcript has 5 exons.